GAGAGAAGGGGGCCUUCCGGGAGCCAGGAAAGGGAAGAAACACAGGAAGACGGGGCAUGCUGACAGAGCAAGAGGAGGGGAUGGAGUCAGGGAGAAGGAUGAGGCUGGAGAAAACAGAGCCCAGAGCAUACCUUUCUAGGCAUAUUGGAGUCCAGACUUUGCCCUGACAAUGGGGAACCACUGGAGCAUUUUACUGAAGUGACACAUUUGAAUUUAUGUUUUAGAGAGGUUUCUUUGGCUGCAGUACGGAAAAUAGAUGGGGUGGAAAGGAGAGAUGAGAGAACAGCAGGAAGAGCUGUUAGGAAGCCAUCGUGAGUGCCCAGGCAAGAGAUAAUAGCUUGGACUACAGUAGUGACCCAGGAGCAAAAAAAAAAAAAAAAAAAAAAGAAAGGCUCAAGUUAUUCAGGAGGUAAAAGGAACUGGAUUGGCAUUGGACUGGAUGUGGGAGCCAGGGGAGAAGAUGACAUCAAAAAUGAUGCUCCAGUUUUUGACUUGGGUAAAUGUACAACAGCAAGCAGCCCAGCCGAGUGAUUAGAAGCAUGGGCUACAGUUUCAACAGCCUGCAUUCAAAGUCUGGCUCUGUCCACAGCUAGCCGUUGAACCUGGGGCAAGGCACCGAUUCACUAGGUGCCUCAGAGUAUAAGAGAGGGAUAAUAAUUGUAUCUUCUGUACAGGGCUCUGGAAAAGGUUAAAUGAGGUAAAGUAUGUCAAAUGCUUGGAACGGAGCCUGGAAUAUCACAAGCACAGUAAAUCUUGGCCACUAUUACAUAGACAAGAUCUCAGGACCAGGCAUAGUUUGUGGGGGUGGGAGCAUCAUGAGCUAGGUUCAAACACACUGAUUUUGAGACAUCUAGGGAACCACAGAACAAGUUCUGGGCUGGAGAUGUAGAUUUCAUUUGAGAGCUGCCAGUAGUAGAGACGGUAAUUGAAGCCAUGGGAAUGGAGGCGAUUGUCCAGGGAGUGUAGGUAAAGUGAGAAUAGAUAAGUGCCAAAGGGCACAGUCUGGGUAUGUCAACAUUUAAGUGACAAUUUCAGAAAGAGAAGCCAAGGAAGAAACCAGAGAAAAGCAGUUGGAGAAGCAAGAAGGCAACCAGAAGUGGCCCUGGUACAGCUGUGAUGGGGAGACAAUGACGAAACAGCAGGAACUGGCACUGAGAGUUAUCGGUGUAGCUUGGGCUCUCCCCUCAUCAUCCUCUCCAGCUGGGAGUCAUGUGACAGAAGCAAGAAGCCUGUCACAGCGCACAUGUAAAAGAGCAAACUCCAGACACCCAUGUCUUAUCUGUGCUGACCCACAAGCGUGAGGUGGCCCACCUUGGUGACUGGAAAUGACACCAUCCAAUUUUUUCUGGCCACUAUGUUGCACCCCUGAUUUUUUCCUUCAUAUGACAGACUUCACAGCAAAUACUCCUACUGAGUCCAAACAACCGCUACGAUUGAGAACAAGCAUGAAUCCGCCACCCACCUUCUCCUGGAAAUAAGGUUAUUGGGUUGCUGAACUCCCAUGAACCAAAAAGAAAACACUGAAUGGUAUCCAAACCAGCCUGGAAAGGACAGCGAGAAAAGCCAGAACCAAGGCUGACCAGCCUGAAUGCUGGUAAAUGUUAUCAAGAUUUCUCUAUUCAUGCUACUCAACAUCCCAAAAAGAAUCAGCAUAAGGCCACAAACUCAACAAAAUUCCUUCUCCUUUUCAUUAAACUCCUGUCCUGACUCCAAGUUCACACCUAAAUAAACAGGCAAGCCUGUGCUCUGCACCCUGAGGAACAGUCUCCUAGGCUUUGUCCUUUCAGAGAGCCCAUUUCCAAGGACAGGCCAUCCAUCUACCCAGCUUUUCUCAAGGCCACAUAGCUCCUCUCUAAAGACAGCCAUCCCCAGUGGUUCAGUUGAUCCUGACAGCUGCGCCUACAGAGAAAGAAGGGAAGAGAGAUGGGAGAGGAAGAUCUCCCAGGAGUCAGGAUGCAAGGUGAAGCCAGCUGUUGAUCAGCGGUCACUCAGCAGCUAGACCAUGCGACACUCUCCUUCUGAAGGCUGUAGGCUGUGAGAGUGUUCUGAGUGGCAUUUAAGGAUAGCUCCCAGGCAGCGUGCCAGCUUCAGCAGGGCCUCCUAUGGUAAGCCCUAAAACGCAGAGGGAAAAGAAUAACCAAGUGGAAGUGGAUCAUCAUGCCAUCUAUCAGAGACAAUGCAUGUGAGAAUGCUGCUACUAAAUGAAUGAAAAACUCUUUGUAAACUCAAAGUCUGUAGUUCUCAAACUUGAGCAUGUAUCUUUUUUUUUUUUUAAAUUAAAACGCUGAUUUACUUGGCCUUAUUCUAGAAGUUGGAUUCAUUUGGUCUGGGGUAGGACCUAGAAAUUUGCAUUCCUAACAUUGCAUUUCCCGGAGGAUCUGAUACUGCGGGUCAGCGGCCACACUUGGAGAACUACUUGCUAAAACACAGGAUCCAUGUCAGCUGAAGCUAUAAUGGGCAAUCAUGAGCCAUGCCCAGACUGAGCAGUAAAAGGAAACAAUGUUACUGUCUAAAACAAGCAAGAAAAUAAUAGAAUAUUUAAAAAUAACAGAAUAUAUAAUGCUUGAGUUGCCAGUAGCAAAGUGUUAUGAUUAGGUCCUUGAAGUUGGAAAAAAGCAGAGAUUAACUAGACAUUUUUGAACAAGCCCUGUCCUCUAAUUCAGCAGAAAGGAAGAGACCAAGUCCAUCAUCCUCUCAGUAAACCAUUAGCCCUGGAGCAUUGGCUUUCCCUCUUCACAGAUGAGGAGUUCCAUCUUCUAACUCACACAGAGCAGGGAGAGGAUAAGAGCUGAGGAAAUGCCAUCACCCCUCAGCUGGUCACUGUCUCUACUAGUAGUGCCUCAUAUGGGUAUAAGGCUUUGUGGUUUUGAAAAGCUUUCCAGUGAUCAAAACAAUGUGACAUGGGUGAAAGAAUAGACAAAUGGACCAACUGAACAGAAUAGAGAGCCCAGAAAAAGACCCGCCCAAAUUUAGUCAACUGAGCUUUGACAAAGGAGCAAAGGCAAUACAGUGGAGAAAGGACAGUCUUUUCAAUAAAUGGUGCUGGAACAACUGGACAUCUGCAUGCAGGAAGAAAAAACUAGAAUCUAAACCAAGACCUUACAUCUCUUUCACAAAAAUUACCUCAAAACGGAUCAAAGACCUAAAGAAUCUGGAGCAGGAGCCUCACUCUCCUAUCAAAAGGAGAAGAACCUGAAGAAAACACUUCUCUUCCUUCUCUCUGCCUAGGGGCAGUGAUCUUGGAUUCAACCACCAUCAUCCCUUCCAGACACCAGAGGGGGGAGUCCCACAAGGCAGAAGGUGCCCCUGUGACCCAUCCACUUCUCUUCCAUGUUCUUUACCUCCUUGCUCAGGAAGCCAUAAAGUUGAGAUGAGUAGGUGAAUUUCAUUGCAAAGUUUACACAGACUCUGCUGACAGGUUCAUGAAAACACUACUGAAUAUGUUACAUACCACCAAUGCUCACAGCACAUCCUGUGUUGGAAGAGAUACUUUUCCAUUGCCAGUAACCCUCCCUUUGUCCUAGGAGCUCACUGAACAGCUAAAAUCAGGUGAUAUUUUUAUAUGGAACGUGCAACGUAUUAAGUCCUUUUGCUCAGUGACCCAAAAAGGAACUAAACGGUACCCAGACUAGAAAUCAAUGUCAAAUUAUUCAAAUAAAUUCCACUUAAAGAA
Molecule: long non-coding RNA, 3673 nt
Organism: Gorilla gorilla gorilla (western lowland gorilla)
Lineage: Eukaryota; Metazoa; Chordata; Mammalia; Primates; Hominidae
Exons: 4
Source: RefSeq, a predicted model, not a curated record